ACCUUCACGAGCUUUUGACUUCGCGCUUUACAAAAACACUCUAGGGGUAAGACAGACAAGACUACGUGGAGUGGACGUGCUCAGAUUUCCCUUGAUUAAUUG
Molecule: long non-coding RNA, 102 nt
Organism: Maniola jurtina (meadow brown)
Lineage: Eukaryota; Metazoa; Arthropoda; Insecta; Lepidoptera; Nymphalidae
Exons: 3
Source: RefSeq, a predicted model, not a curated record